CAGGUUCCGGUUCACGCUUUGCCAUAGGGGCAUUGCGACCCGGGUCC
Molecule: non-coding RNA, 47 nt
Organism: Bifidobacterium saguini DSM 23967
Lineage: Bacteria; Bacillati; Actinomycetota; Actinomycetes; Bifidobacteriales; Bifidobacteriaceae
Source: Rfam